Molecule: ribosomal RNA, 492 nt
Filed under: uncultured bacterium
Lineage: Bacteria
Description: partial 16S ribosomal RNA
Rfam family: Bacterial small subunit ribosomal RNA
Source: RNAcentral
AGUGAACGCUGGCGGUAGGCCUAACACAUGCAAGUCGAACGGCAGCACAGUAAGAGCUUGCUCUUACGGGUGGCGAGUGGCGGACGGGUGAGGAAUACAUCGGAAUCUACUUUUUCGUGGGGGAUAACGUAGGGAAACUUACGCUAAUACCGCAUACGACCUACGGGUGAAAGCAGGGGAUCUUCGGACCUUGCGCGAUUGAAUGAGCCGAUGUCGGAUUAGCUAGUUGGCGGGGUAAAGGCCCACCAAGGCGACGAUCCGUAGCUGGUCUGAGAGGAUGGUCAGCCACACUGGAACUGAGACAGGGUCCAGACUCCUACGGGAGGCAGCAGUGGGGAAUAUUGGACAAUGGGCGCAAGCCUGAUCCAGCCAUACCGCGUGGGUGAAGAAGGCCUUCGGGUUGUAAAGCCCUUUUGUUGGGAAAGAAAAGCAGCAGGUUAAUACCCCGCUGUUCUGACGGUACCCAAAGAAUAAGCACCGGCUAACUUCGUG